Molecule: microRNA precursor, 89 nt
Filed under: Notamacropus eugenii (tammar wallaby)
Lineage: Eukaryota; Metazoa; Chordata; Mammalia; Diprotodontia; Macropodidae
Description: miRNA (ENSMEUG00000017650.1)
Source: RNAcentral
UAUGUAUAUAUGUAUGUGUGCAUAUACAUAUACGUGUGUGUAUAUACACACAUACAUCAUACAGAUCCAUAUACAAACAUGCAUACAUA